RNAcentral lists this transfer RNA (66 nucleotides) under Striatobalanus tenuis. Its description in RNAcentral is "tRNA-Cys". The record is from RNAcentral. Lineage: Eukaryota; Metazoa; Arthropoda; Thecostraca; Balanomorpha; Balanidae.
AACAGCGUAUUUUAAUUUAAAAUAUCACCCUGCAAAUGUGACGAUACUUCUUUGAGGUUGCUGUUU